CAAACUCAAACCCUGUACCUCCUUCGUUGCCUUGGUUGCUUUAUGCUCCUAAGAUCCCCUGAUGUGCCAUUUCCUUCCGAACGCGGCGUAGGCACCCUCAGCCGAGGGUAGCGGGUCCCACUGGAGAAUCUCCCUCUUUAUCGGGUCAAACAAGGGCGUUCAAGAACUGAAAAAGUUUUUGUUCUGAACGGAGUUUGUUGUACGUGGCUAUGUAUGUCAUCGGCACAAGUCAAAGGGUUUGGGUCUCUUCUCUCAAUUGCUCCCCAAAAAUCUUGCAGAGGAGAACCAUUUUGUUUCAUGCCGUUUGAUUUAACAUGAAGAUCGAAGGUUUGCAAUUUGUCAUUCCCGCUAUACUGUAGGUGAUAACUAACGCGUCCCACAAUGUUUUGGCUGCCGGGAAUUCAGUUAGAACAUGACAUGGUCGUCUUGUUCCCAUUGUUCAUAUUGGUUGUCAGUCGGUUCUGGAGGCUUUGGAUCUCCUGUCUCAAGUGGCUCAAGAGAUGUUUCGAUUUGCAACUCGAAUCAUUCCGGACCACAGGGCAUAGAUAGUUUUGGCUGUUUAAUUUGAGGCUGAUUUUCAAGGAGUCGGAAAGGCUCUGUUUUUGCGAUUGAUUUUGGUUGUUUAUACUACUCUUGAGAAGAUUUGUGAUUUGUAAUGCAACUAUGCAAGAUCAUCAUCGUUCUUGGCAUCACCUGACAUGGAAACUUUCUUCACCUUCUUGAAUGGAGCCACCUGAAAUUCAGUUACACCAUUCAUGUUGAGGAGGUCACAUUAUACAUACGAAUGGAUCAAUUUGGGUUAUGUUUAUCUCAAACUGGUAGAUUAGCUAAAAAAUGAAGUUGUUUGUUUACACAAACCUGACUGGCAACAAACUGAAUGACUUGAUCUUCACUGAGUUGAGAUCCUUCUGCUCUCACCACAUAAGCCAUAGAGAAGAAACUCACGGUAUGACGGCUGCAUCAAGUAUUUGGGGAUGCCCCAAUAGUAUGGCUUCUAGUUCCGCUGGAGCUACCUGCAUUUAUACUUCAUGUCAAUACAUACAUCGCGCGCAAGCAUUUGUAUAUACACAUAUAUAGAGGACCUUCAACACACAACCAAUUUUAAGUA
Molecule: long non-coding RNA, 1108 nt
Organism: Helianthus annuus (common sunflower)
Lineage: Eukaryota; Viridiplantae; Streptophyta; Magnoliopsida; Asterales; Asteraceae
Exons: 3
Source: RefSeq, a predicted model, not a curated record